This 250-nucleotide ribosomal RNA is filed under the name uncultured bacterium. RNAcentral describes it as "partial small subunit ribosomal RNA". It matches the Rfam family "Bacterial small subunit ribosomal RNA", at positions 26 to 280 of the family's 1533-position model. The record is from RNAcentral.
AGGACGAACGCUGGCGGCGUGCUUAACACAUGCAAGUCGAGCGGAAAGGCCCUUCGGGGUACUCGAGCGGCGAACGGGUGAGUAACACGUGAGCAACCUGCCCUUAGCUCCGGGAUAGCUCCGGGAAACCGGAAUUAAUACCGGAUACGACCACGGCCGACAUCUGCUGUAGGUGGAAAGGAUUCCGGCUAAGGAUGGGCUCGCGGCCUAUCAGCUAGUUGGUGGAGUAACGGCCCACCAAGGCGACGAC